UACACUACAGGAAGGGCGCAUGGAGGAUGCCUUGGCUCUCGGAGGCGACGAAGGACGCGACAAGCUGCGAAAAGCCGCGGCGAGGGGCAAAUACCCAUUGACCCGCGGAUGUCCGAAUGGGGCAACCCACCGGAAGCGAUUCCGGUAUCCGUUGAUUGACGGAGGCGAACGCAGGGAACUGAAACAUCUUAGUACCUGCAGGAAGAGAAAGUAAACACGAUUCCCCCAGUAGAGGCGAUCGAACGGGGAAUAGCCCAAACCGCCGGCGUUGCAAAGCGCCGACGGGGUUGUAGGACCGCUCAAAGGCUGUUGGAAGGCGAGCGGAAGCGCAUGGAACGGCGCGCCGCAGCGGGUGAGAGCCCCGUACGCGAAGCCCGAAGACACAGGAGCGGCACCUGAGUAAGCCGGGACACGAGGAAUCCCGGUCGAAUCCACGGGGACCAUCCCGUAAGGCUAAAUACUACCGAGAGACCGAUAGCGAACCAGUACCGUGAGGGAAAGGUGAAAAGGACCCCGGAAGGGGAGUGAAAGAGACCCUGAAACCAUGCGCCUACAAGCGGUCGGAGCCGCGUAAUGCGGUGACGGCGUGCCUUUUGCAUAAUGAGCCUGCGAGUUGUGGUCAUUGGCGAGGCUAAGAGCCGAAGGUUCGGAGCCGGAGCGAAAGCGAGUCCGAAGAGGGCGUAUAGUCGAUGGCUGCAGACGCGAAACCGGGUGAUCUACGCAUGGGCAGGCUGAAGGCUGGGUAACACCAGCUGGAGGGCCGAACCGGUAAGCGUUGAAAAGCUUUCGGAUGACCUGUGCGUAGGAGUGAAAGGCCAAUCAAACCCGGAGAUAGCUCGUACUCCCCGAAAUGCAUUUAGGUGCAGCCUCGGUAAAGACCGACGGAGGUAGAGCGACCGAUAGGGUGCGAGGGCUUCGCCGCCUAUCAAGCCCUGACGAACUCCGAAUGCCGUCGGUUGCUUACCGGGAGUGAGGGCGCGGGUGCUAAGGUCCGCGUCCGAAAGAGGAACAACUCAGACCACCGUCUAAGGCCCCGAAAUCCGGGCCGAGUUGAAGCCAAUAACGAGGUGGGACCGCAUAGACAGUUAGGAUGUUGGCUUGGAAGCAGCCAUUCAUUCAAAGAGUGCGUAACAGCUCACUAAUCGAGCGGUCCCGCGUGGAUAAUAAUCGGGCAUAAGUCCGGUGCCGAAGACGUGGAAUCAACCUUGAAGGUUGAUUGGUAGGGGAGCAUUCUGCCGCCGGUGAAGGAGGGCCGCGAGACCCUCUGGAGGUUGCAGAAAAGCAAAUGCAGGCAUAAGUAACGACAAAGGGGGCGGGAAACCCCCUCGCCGGAAGGCCAAGGGUUCCUGAUCAACGCUAAUCGGAUCAGGGUAAGCCGGGACCUAAGCAAAAGCCGCGAGGCGUAUGCGAUGGACAAACGGUAAAAAUUCCGUUGCCUCCGGUUUGAGAGCCCCGUUGAUGACGGAGGAGCGAAAGACGCGCGUGCUGACGGAACAGCACGUUAAAGGGAAGUAGCCUUAUGGUGAAGCCCGACAGUACACAGAGGCUUCGGCCGAAGUGAUAGCCGUACCGUAGCAGACUCCCGAGAAAAGUCAGCGAGAGGCGCUUGAUCAAACCGGGGCCCGUACCGAAAACCGACACAGGUGGCCGGGUAGAAAAUACUGAGGCGCUCGAGAGAUUCACGGUCAAGGAACUAGGCAAAUUGGCCCCGUAACUUCGGGAGAAGGGGCCCUCGUUUAGCAAGCGAGGCGCAGAGAAUAAGUCCAGGCAACUGUUUAGCAAAAACACAGGGCUGUGCCAAGCCGCAAGGCGCUGCAUACAGCCUGACACCUGCCCGGUGCCGGAAGGUUAAGCGGAGCUGUCAUCGCAAGAGAAGCAGUGAAGUGAAGCCCCGGUAAACGGCGGCCGUAACUAUAACGGUCCUAAGGUAGCGAAAUUCCUUGUCGGGUAAGUUCCGACCU
This 1961-nucleotide ribosomal RNA is filed under the name human gut metagenome. RNAcentral's name for it is "bacterial LSU rRNA". It matches the Rfam family "Bacterial large subunit ribosomal RNA", at positions 1 to 1989 of the family's 2925-position model. The record is from RNAcentral.